AUAUUAUCCAAAACCAGAGGUUCUACAGGAACAAGUAUUUACUUCCCUUUGUACAGAGGCCCACCUGCUAGGGCAAUGGUUAGGUGCACAUGACAUAAACCAGGCAAUGUUAGAGGUACGUGCAUAUGGUAUCUUUGCAGGGGUAAGGGAUGGUUUUAACAUAGGCCUUGGAGAUUUCUAGGAGAUUGGUCAUUUCCUUAAACAGCUUAUUUCUGGCAUGAAAAACUUCCAUCUUCAACACUCUUACUCCCUCCCAUUACUUCAAUUUCUACCUUUACUCCUAAAUAUGCAGCUACAGCCUUGACUUGGUUCUCGAGCUCCAGAUUUGGCAAACUCACCUAUCGCCACAGAGAAGUCUCACGGCCAAGCUGAAUAAAAUAAAACGCUUCUCUUUGCUGUAAGCCCACUCCUCCUCCCAUCUUCCCUGUUCCUGUGAGCCAUAACACAUUCACCUCAUCAUCAAGGGUCACACCCUUAGAAUCCUCACCGACAGCUCCUAACCCACAAGCAGGAAGGCUGGGCAGUGCACCCUCACUGCUUGUCUCAGACCCCUCACGUCCCUCAUACCUACUGUCACAGCCCCAGGUCACCUAGAAAGCUGCUCUCCUCCCUCCUUUUCUUACAGCACAACGAGCCAGAUUCAUCUUCCAAAGCACCGCUGUCCUCUCCAAGCUGCAGUCUCUCACUCUCUUGCCCUUAGAGUAAGUCCGAAUGCCUCACCCGGGCCUCCAUGAUCCAGCCAAGCUGCCCUUGCAGCCUUUCCUCCCCGCACCCCACCGGCAUCCCCUGGGCUGCCCAAUCAGCCUCCACCAGAUUCCCAGGCAGGGGAGCCACGGGGGAAUGUCCAGUGUUGGAGCUGGAAGCCAGGGACGCUGACUUUAGAACUGUCUGGUUGCUGUGGAGCCUCAUGGAGUCUUCCCAGGUCUGUCUCCCUGUUUGAGGCUUGCACUCCAGAGGCCCCUCUGGGCAAUAAUGAACCACCGGGAGUGGUGCCGGGAUCGCAGACAGAGAUGGACUGCCUGGAGCAGGGUCACCAGGACCAAGGCAGUAACUCAGAUUUGGUGUCAGAAGUGAGAAUACAGAGUAAAACUUCAGCAACCCCCAGGAACACCAGGGAACCAGACCAGAUACCUGCGAAGCCAGCUGUGCCCACUGAUUUCUUGUUUGUAACUGGAGGUCGUGGCUGAAUUUUCUCUCAGAUUCCAAGAUCCAAGAAUUUGUGUUCUCAGCUCUCCAAGUUUGUUUGAGCAAUCUUUGGACUGGGCUGGGUUUGGGAUUGGAUUGGAUUCAAUAAUCAACCGGAUUAGAUUCAGUUAGAGGCUGAGGGCCUCAGGUGGGUACCUUUUUGGUAAUGAGUUCAUCUCAAUUCAAAGAGCCUGGGACUCCACAUUCUGGGACUCCAGCUACUUUUAUGUAUAAAAUUAUGGGCCCAGAACAUGUGCAUUUUCAGAAAAAAUGGGUUAACCUCACUGAGACAACUUAGAAAAGAUAAUGGGGAAGUUUUAAUUUGGUUAAAAUUAUUUAUUUGCAAGUCAUAUGAGAAAAAAGGAAUCAGAAUCCCACAUAAAAACAAUAGUAUGUAUCCUUUAAUUAGUAUAGGAAGAUCUAAAAGACUGAACAAAUCAAAAAUUGCAUCCGUAAAAGAUUCUUUGCAAAAAGCAAGUGAAAAUCUUAAACAACAGACUAAGGACAUCAUAAAAGAGGACUAAGGCCGAG
RNAcentral lists this long non-coding RNA (1716 nucleotides) under Homo sapiens (human). RNAcentral describes it as "HSALNT0028413". Lineage: Eukaryota; Metazoa; Chordata; Mammalia; Primates; Hominidae. The record is from RNAcentral.